ACCCUCCAGCAUUCUGAUCCCUCAGAUCUAAAUAUUGGUCUUAGUAGCUAAAAAGAAGGAAGAAAAGUAAAAUUAAAGUGGAUGUGGACUCUUUAGUAACAUAAAAAGUUCAUUUCAAACAUAU
Molecule: small nucleolar RNA, 124 nt
Organism: Echinops telfairi (small Madagascar hedgehog)
Lineage: Eukaryota; Metazoa; Chordata; Mammalia; Afrosoricida; Tenrecidae
Source: Ensembl